This 658-nucleotide ribosomal RNA is filed under the name uncultured organism. RNAcentral describes it as "bacterial SSU rRNA". It matches the Rfam family "Bacterial small subunit ribosomal RNA", at positions 1 to 663 of the family's 1533-position model. The record is from RNAcentral.
GGCUUAGAGUUUGAUCAUGGCUCAGGAUGAACGCUGGCGGCGUGCCUAACACAUGCAAGUCGAACGGAGAGUUUUUGAUGAAGCUUCGGCGGAAUUAAAAAUUUCUUAGUGGCGGACGGGUGAGUAACGCGUGGGUAACCUGCCUUAUACAGGGGGAUAACAGUCAGAAAUGACUGCUAAUACCGCAUAAGCGCACAGGACCGCAUGGUCCGGUGUGAAAAGCCGAGACGGUAUAAGAUGGACCCGCGUCUGAUUAGCUGGUUGGUGAGGUAACGGCCCACCAAGGCGACGAUCAGUAGCCGGCCUGAGAGGGUGAACGGCCACAUUGGGACUGAGACACGGCCCAGACUCCUGCGGGAGGCAGCAGUGGGGAAUAUUGCACAAUGGGGGAAACCCUGAUGCAGCAACGCCGCGUGAAGGAUGAAGUAUUUCGGUAUGUAAACUUCUAUCAGCAGGGAAGAAGAAGACGGUACCUGACUAAGAAGCCCCGGCUAACUACGUGCCAGCAGCCGCGGUAAUACGUAGGGGGCAAGCGUUAUCCGGAUUUACUGGGUGUAAAGGGAGCGCAGGCGGCGCAGUAAGUCAGAAGUGAAAGCCCGGGGCUUAACUCCGGGACUGCUUUUGAAACUGCCGUGCUUGAUUUCAGGAGAGGCAAGCG